This 253-nucleotide ribosomal RNA is filed under the name uncultured bacterium. RNAcentral's name for it is "partial 16S ribosomal RNA". It matches the Rfam family "Bacterial small subunit ribosomal RNA", at positions 524 to 776 of the family's 1533-position model. The record is from RNAcentral.
UACGUAGGGGGCAAGCGUUGUCCGGAAUCAUUGGGCGUAAAGCGCACGUAGGCGGCUUUCUAAGUCAGGGGUGAAAUCCUGGAACUCAACUCCAGAACUGCCUUUGAUACUGGAGAGCUAGAGUCCGGAAGAGGUGAGUGGAACUGCGAGUGUAGAGGUGAAAUUCGUAGAUAUUCGCAAGAACACCAGUGGCGAAGGCGGCUCACUGGUCCGGUACUGACGCUGAGGUGCGAAAGCGUGGGGAGCAAACAGG